AUGAGCAUCGGCCUCCUGUGCUGUGCAGCCUUGUCUCUCCUGUGGGCAGGUCCAGUGAAUGCUGGUGUCACUCAGACCCCAAAAUUCCAGGUCCUGAAGACAGGACAGAGCAUGACACUGCAGUGUGCCCAGGAUAUGAACCAUGAAUACAUGUCCUGGUAUCGACAAGACCCAGGCAUGGGGCUGAGGCUGAUUCAUUACUCAGUUGGUGCUGGUAUCACUGACCAAGGAGAAGUCCCCAAUGGCUACAAUGUCUCCAGAUCAACCACAGAGGAUUUCCCGCUCAGGCUGCUGUCGGCUGCUCCCUCCCAGACAUCUGUGUACUUCUGUGCCAGCAGUUACUC
Molecule: non-coding RNA, 344 nt
Organism: Homo sapiens (human)
Lineage: Eukaryota; Metazoa; Chordata; Mammalia; Primates; Hominidae
Source: the annotation of a RefSeq genome assembly